CACGCGCGUGUGUGAUGAAGGGUUUCGGCUCGUAAAACACUGUUGUCAGAGAAGAUGACAUUGAGAGUAACUGUUCUUGUGUGACGGUAUCUUACCAGAAAGGAACGGCUAAAUACGUGCCAGCAGCCGCGGUAAU
RNAcentral lists this ribosomal RNA (136 nucleotides) under uncultured bacterium. RNAcentral describes it as "partial 16S ribosomal RNA". It matches the Rfam family "Bacterial small subunit ribosomal RNA", at positions 393 to 524 of the family's 1533-position model. The record is from RNAcentral.